RNAcentral lists this ribosomal RNA (253 nucleotides) under uncultured bacterium. RNAcentral's name for it is "partial 16S ribosomal RNA". It matches the Rfam family "Bacterial small subunit ribosomal RNA", at positions 524 to 776 of the family's 1533-position model. The record is from RNAcentral.
UACGGAGACUGCAAGCGUUACUCGGAUUUACUGGGCGUAAAGGGUCCGUAGGCGGCCGUGUGUGUCGGGUGUGAAAUCCUGCAGCUUAACUGCAGAACUGCGCCCGAAACUACACGGCUAGAGUAUUGGAGAGGUGAGUGGAAUUCCUGGUGUAGCGGUGAAAUGCGUAGAUAUCAGGAGGAACACCAACGGCGAAGGCAGCUCACUGGACAAUUACUGACGCUGAGGGACGAAAGUGUGGGGAGCAAAAGGG